This 1639-nucleotide long non-coding RNA is filed under the name Medicago truncatula (barrel medic). RNAcentral describes it as "long non-coding RNA (MTRU_LNC004965)". The record is from RNAcentral. Lineage: Eukaryota; Viridiplantae; Streptophyta; Magnoliopsida; Fabales; Fabaceae.
AAUUUUUUUAGAAAAUUUUUAGGAGCAUAAAAUGCCAAGAAAGUGUAAAAAAGUAUUUAAAACACAAUAAAAAAGCAAUUAAAAAAAAAACUCAGCAGGAUAUAAUCUGGACCGUUGGAUGAAUCCAGAGGUCCAGAUCUAACUCCCAAGAUCUCAUCACAGCCACUGGAUCAAAGAUCCAAGGGUUUAAAAAAACACAAAAAGAUAGUGUAAAAUUGCAGGAAGCACAAUGACCGUUAGAUCAAAGAUCUAACGGUUCAAACAGAAGAUAUACCAUAUUUCACACAGAAGAUCACACACAUGAUUCAAGAUCAAAACACACAGCAGCCAUCAGAUCUUGGAACAAUCCAGAUCUGAUGGUUCACAACACGAGGGAGCACAACAAGAGCACGCACGCGCGCGCGUGGGAACGGAGGAGCUAUAUAAGGAAAACUCACACAAAAAACUCACAAAAACAAAACUCCUUCUCUCUCUAAGUCACACUUAGAGAGAGAAGCUCUCCCCUCUCUCUAAAGCAGUUCGCCGGAGAAGAAGGAGGAAGAAGCUCCGGCGCGGCGGCCGGCCGGUUUCCGGCGGCGGCGCCACCGCGCCGGAAAAAUCAAACUACUUUUUUUUUCAAAAUUUUUAUACCAAAAGCUUCGUCUCCUCCUCCUCUACACAAAUCCGGCACUAGUUUUAGAAAGGGCUGAGAGAUUUGAGCUAGAUCUACACUUGAACUUCGAAAAAAAUUUCACACUUUUUUGAAAAAUAACUACGGAUCUAGAUAUCCUUUUCUCUCUAGAGUCCGAAUCCGGCCUCAAAAUUUUCAAAAUCCGAACACAAAAGCCUAGAUCUACAAAUCUUUAUCCGUAACAAACUUUUUCACAUGCAAUUUCAAGCAAGAAACGCGCGGAAAUGGCUUAGAAAGGAAGGAGAAACGCGUUACCUCUGUCGUAGAACGGAGAAAAAAGAUAUUCGGAAAACUUCGAAUCUCUCCUCUUCUCUUUCGCGCGCGCUAUAGCCUCCGUUGGUGUUGUUUUUGCUCGAAAAUCCGGUACGAUUUUGGUGUUGAUGUGAUGAUUCGAGGUGGUUUUGAGUGAAUCCGGUUCGGAUUCGUUGAUUUGGUGAUGAUCGGAGUUGGUUUUGAGCAGAUCUGGUUCGGAUCUGUUGAUUUGGUGAUGAUUUGUUCUUGGUGUUCUUCCCUCUUUUCUGAGAUUUUUUGUGUUUGAUUCUGUUAGGAUGAGAGAGAAAACGAAAUUCUGUUUGUGAGUUGGCACUGUUUUUUUUUGAUUGAUCUGACACGUUUACUAUUUAUAGCCUGCCAUGUGUAUCUGAGAACCAAUGAAAAAAUGACAUCUGUUUUGGGACUGAUGUGGAUCGAAAAUCUGGACUAAAAUGCCCCUGGGACCUUUCUGCAAAAUAAAAAACUUGAAGGACUGGACAGCAAUAAAAAAUGGACUAAAUUUUUUUUUAAAGUUUUGGACUAAAAUGCAAAUUAAAAUAAAAUUGGAUUAAAAUUGGUAAUUUGAAAAAAAACGUAAAGUGAAACAAAAAAUAAAAUCAACAAAAUGACUAAAACGAACCAAUUACUGACAUGAAGUAUUUUAAAAUACCUCCCUGCCGAAAUUUUGACAGGAAAAGACCAAAAUGCCCCUAGGGA